RNAcentral lists this non-coding RNA (32 nucleotides) under unclassified sequences. Its description in RNAcentral is "L31-Firmicutes ribosomal protein leader". It matches the Rfam family "L31-Firmicutes ribosomal protein leader". The record is from RNAcentral.
CUCUGUAUCGCUUUGAUUCAGGGCAGAAAGAG